This 686-nucleotide long non-coding RNA is filed under the name Urocitellus parryii (Arctic ground squirrel). RNAcentral describes it as "lncRNA (ENSUPAG00010016276.1)". The record is from RNAcentral. Lineage: Eukaryota; Metazoa; Chordata; Mammalia; Rodentia; Sciuridae.
GUAAAGGUAGAAAGGGUCGGGAGGAGCGGCGGCGCGCCGGGAGCUGGCCUGGCUCCUCGGGAGCGCGCCUCGGGGGCCCCGCCCUGUCUCGGAGGGGCUGRCAGGGUUCGGAGCCUGCGGGCGGCGCUGGCUGGGCCAGCCAGGCAGCGCGGAAUGCUGCACUCCUGAGGAAAAAGGCAGUGGUCCAAGUAUUUUCUGCGGUUUUAAGCGGCUACGGAUAACCUUCCCUCCAGUCCCACAAAAACUAGAUUUGAGAGGAAUCCUUUAUGUUUUUCAUUUAUCCUGUUUGAGGCCAGAGGAAAGAUGUCUGGUAUAACAAGGGUUAUAAAAGUUGAUAUCCUGGAUUUAAAACAUUAUUUAAUUUCAUAUAUUUUUCACCACCAUUAUUUUAAAAAAUUUAAGUAUCAACUCUUUAAAGAAAAAUGACCUAUUAAUAUUAUAGCCUAAUGUUUUCCCACAAACAGUUAUGGAUGUGUUGACCUAAAAUUGUACUGUUUUAAAUUAUGUAAAUCAAAACAGUAAUUUCAUAUUUUCUUUUGAUAUAGAAUUCAGGAUUUACAAAAGGUGCAAGUUUGGGCAGUUCUGAAGACUACAAUUUUGUUAACUUAUAAAACAGGUAAUUUAUCUUUCAGAUCUAAAAAAGGAACAAAUAUUUAUUGACUACUUACAUAUUAUUUCAUGUAGUU